This 173-nucleotide small RNA is filed under the name uncultured Cellulomonas sp. Its description in RNAcentral is "ydaO/yuaA leader". It matches the Rfam family "c-di-AMP riboswitch aptamer (ydaO/yuaA leader)", at positions 22 to 130 of the family's 134-position model. From Rfam's summary of the family: This family represents a conserved RNA structure found upstream of the ydaO and yuaA genes in Bacillus subtilis and related genes in other bacteria. The ydaO/yuaA element is thought to act as a genetic "off" switch for the ydaO and yuaA genes in its native state. It is believed that the element may be triggered during osmotic shock leading to activation of ydaO, a predicted amino acid transporter gene, and members of the yuaA-yubG operon which code for KtrA and KtrB K+ transporters. Lineage: Bacteria; Bacillati; Actinomycetota; Actinomycetes; Micrococcales; Cellulomonadaceae. The record is from RNAcentral.
GGCAGGGGCGGGGGAACCACAUUGUGGGCACCGGAAGAUCGGUGUCCUUGGGGUGAAGCCGGGAACACGGCGCGACAGCAGUGCACGCAGGUGCGCAGCAGGUCGCGACGGACGACCGGCCGGGUGUUCUCCCACCCGAACCCGACAGCUCACCUCGUAGGCGACAGGAGAGG